AGACUUACCUGGCAGGGGCGAUACCGUGAUCACAAACGUGGUUUUCCCAGGGCAAGGCUUAUCCAUUGCACUCCAGAUGUGCUGUGAUUGCCCCAGAUGUGGGAAACUUGACUGCAUAAUUUGUGGUAGUGAGGGACUGUGUUCACACUUUCCCCUG
RNAcentral lists this small nuclear RNA (157 nucleotides) under Tupaia belangeri (northern tree shrew). RNAcentral describes it as "U1 spliceosomal RNA (ENSTBEG00000019088.1)". It matches the Rfam family "U1 spliceosomal RNA". Rfam says of the family: U1 is a small nuclear RNA (snRNA) component of the spliceosome (involved in pre-mRNA splicing). Its 5' end forms complementary base pairs with the 5' splice junction, thus defining the 5' donor site of an intron. The record is from RNAcentral. Lineage: Eukaryota; Metazoa; Chordata; Mammalia; Scandentia; Tupaiidae.